Non-coding RNA from Firmicutes bacterium CAG:41, 352 nucleotides. It matches the Rfam family "transfer-messenger RNA". Rfam says of the family: Bacterial tmRNA, also known as 10Sa RNA or SsrA, is named for its dual tRNA and mRNA-like properties. Its role is to liberate the mRNA from a stalled ribosome. Lineage: Bacteria; Bacillati; Bacillota. The record is from Rfam.
GGGGGUGCAAUGGUUUCGACGGGGAUGUUGAAUCCCGAGUAGCGAGUAGUGUUGAGUGCCACUUAAAACGGCUCAAACUUUUAAAUAUAAACGCUAACGAUACAGAAUUAGCUUACGCUGCCUAAUUGCGGCGUUGUCUCCCCUGUGAGUAUCACGGCAUAGGGCAAGGCAUCAUUUUAGUGGUGAACGUGAGUAAAGGGAUGUCCUGACCUUUUCCAUGAUUUAAGGACUACCGAUGAUAUAACUUUGGUUGUGGAGUAGUAUCAAAGGGAAUCUUGACCAUAACCUGCACUCGGAGAAACUUGGGUGGAUAUGUUUUCGGACAGGAGUUCGAUUCUCCUCACCUCCACCA